UCCAGCAGCAUGAGAGGCAAAAGCUCCGCUGGAGGAGAGUCGUGGCGGAUGAGCUAAUUGUCAUGGCGGAUGAGCUAAUUAACUCAUGUAUAAAACAAAAUACAUUAUUCAUACAACUGAAAAAUUAGUUAAUUUCUAGAGUUCAAGAAAUACCAGCAGAACACAAAUAACAGCCCAAACAUUUUAUAACUUUGCUAGUUAUCUUCUAUUAUUCUUACCCCAAGAUCAGUAAUUAGUAAUAAUUCACUUCAUUGAAG
RNAcentral lists this long non-coding RNA (257 nucleotides) under Medicago truncatula (barrel medic). RNAcentral's name for it is "lncRNA gene31994". Lineage: Eukaryota; Viridiplantae; Streptophyta; Magnoliopsida; Fabales; Fabaceae. The record is from RNAcentral.